CCCUUAGAUGUUCUGGGCAGCACGCGCGCUACAAUGGUCUUCGCAAACGGAUGCAUUCUCGAAGGAGAAUGCCAAUCUUGGAAUCUAUGCCUUGGUCGGGACAGUUGCUUGCAAUUUUUCGACUCGAACCAGGAAUUCCUUGUAAUCGUGAUUCAUCACAUCACGAUGAAUACGUCCCUGCCCUUUGUACACACCGCCCGUCGCUCCUACCUAUCGAAGAGUUAGGUGAAUUGUUUUGAUCGAUAAGAUUUGACUAUGGUCAACUCUCGUUGUGAAAUUCUGUGAAUCUGACUGUUUAGAGGAAGGAAAAGUCGUAACA
Molecule: ribosomal RNA, 319 nt
Filed under: uncultured eukaryote
Lineage: Eukaryota
Description: partial 18S ribosomal RNA
Rfam family: Eukaryotic small subunit ribosomal RNA
Source: RNAcentral